RNAcentral lists this long non-coding RNA (514 nucleotides) under Salmo salar (Atlantic salmon). Its description in RNAcentral is "lncRNA (ENSSSAG00000093714.1)". Lineage: Eukaryota; Metazoa; Chordata; Actinopteri; Salmoniformes; Salmonidae. The record is from RNAcentral.
GUAAGUACAGAUUCUUCUCCAGUGACGCCAAUGCCAACGUGAUACUACCUCUGUUACACUGAACACAUAUCCUAGAUCUAGAGGAACUUGAUUUACAAGUAGCAGAAUGUUCUGUUGGUGUUAUAAUUGGGGUGAUGUGUGUUCCAACUUCCACUGCCAACAAGGAACACAACUGCUUUACACAUUACAUUGGAGUCAACCAUACUGUUCUUCAGUCUAAUCCAGCUGAUCCCAGUUUUACCUGUUACUCCCUCAUCUCAUCCCACCAACUCUGUCAGUCCAGCAGGCCCCACAAUGCAGCCUCCACACCACUGCAGUAACAGCCACAUCUUCCCAUCACAAAGCUUCAGUACUAUCUCAAUGUGUUGAAUUACCAUCCAGGAUCCUGUGGCAACGUCAAUGUGAAACCGCAUUGACCCGUGAUCACCACCAACCAGGGCUCCACAGUGGUAUCCUUCGAUGCCCAGGCUUCGCUCAAGAUCAACUGAAGGAGAUUUGGAAGGAUCCCAGUGAG